UGAAGAAGAAGAGGGUCUUCUUCUAGGGUUUUUAUUUUCAUAUCUUUCCUCCUUCCAUCUUGAGUUUCCUGAGAGUGUCUCAGAUCUGAAACUUCUCCUUCUACUUUCCAUCUUUGGAAGAGUCCAAAUCAAGAAGAAGGAGGCACCUGAUCAACCAUCAAAGAAGGAUCAGCGCAGUACUAGCAUACUGUGCUGAUUUUUUGAAGCAGAACUUCUGAUCGAGAUUCGUGGGCUCGUGUGGAUGACUCCUAGAGGCCAGACGCAUGUGCGGCUUGCAACAUCAUCCUUAAGCCCGGAUCAGCGAGGUUAGAGCAUCUAACUUGCAAGGUAAUAGCUCUGAUCUAUUGUUUAAUACAUACAUUAGAUGUGGUAUAAAAACAUGUUGAUAUGAUCAACAUGUAGUUCAUGCUAUAUUUAUAUAUUUUAAUUUUUGAUUUAAUUCCAUGUAAUAAUCAUGUAAUAGGAUCUUAGAUCUAGGGAUUCUCUAGUUUUAGAAAAUAAAUUUUGAUUUAUUUUAGUCUUCCGCUGUAUGAUCUUGAAAAAG
This 544-nucleotide long non-coding RNA is filed under the name Elaeis guineensis (African oil palm). RNAcentral's name for it is "long non-coding RNA (EGUI_LNC067412)". Lineage: Eukaryota; Viridiplantae; Streptophyta; Magnoliopsida; Arecales; Arecaceae. The record is from RNAcentral.